AACGAACGCUGGCGGCAUGCCUAACACAUGCAAGUCGAACGAGACCUUCGGGUCUAGUGGCGCACGGGUGCGUAACGCGUGGGAACCUGCCCUUAGGUUCGGAAUAACUCCCCGAAAGGGGUGCUAAUACCGGAUAAUGUCUUCGGACCAAAGAUUUAUCGCCUUUGGAUGGGCCCGCGUUGGAUUAGCUAGUUGGUAGGGUAAAAGCCUACCAAGGCGACGAUCCAUAGCUGGUCUGAGAGGAUGAUCAGCCACACUGGGACUGAGACACGGCCCAGACUCCUACGGGAGGCAGCAGUGGAGAAUAUUGGACAAUGGGCGAAAGCCUGAUCCAGCAAUGCCGCGUGAGUGAUGAAGGCCGUAGGGUUGUAAAGCUCUUUUACACGGGAUGAUAAUGACAGUACCGGGAGAAUAAGCUCCGGCUAACUCCGU
Molecule: ribosomal RNA, 432 nt
Filed under: uncultured bacterium
Lineage: Bacteria
Description: partial 16S ribosomal RNA
Rfam family: Bacterial small subunit ribosomal RNA
Source: RNAcentral